RNAcentral lists this ribosomal RNA (429 nucleotides) under Chloroflexota bacterium. RNAcentral describes it as "Chloroflexi bacterium partial 16S ribosomal RNA". It matches the Rfam family "Bacterial small subunit ribosomal RNA", at positions 355 to 776 of the family's 1533-position model. Lineage: Bacteria; Bacillati; Chloroflexota. The record is from RNAcentral.
UGGGGAAUAUUGCACAAUGGGCGCAAGCCUGAUGCAGCCAUGCCGCGUGUGUGAAGAAGGCCUUCGGGUUGUAAAGCACUCUCAGCGGGGAGGAAGGCGAUAAGGUUAAUAACCUCAUCGAUUGACGUUACCCGCAGAAGAAGCACCGGCUAACUCCGUGCCAGCAGCCGCGGUAAUACGGAGGGUGCAAGCGUUAAUCGGAAUUACUGGGCGUAAAGCGCACGCAGGCGGUCUGUCAAGUCGGAUGUGAAAUCCCCGGGCUCAACCUGGGAACUGCAUUCGAAACUGGCAGGCUAGAGUCUUGUAGAGGGGGGUAGAAUUCCAGGUGUAGCGGUGAAAUGCGUAGAGAUCUGGAGGAAUACCGGUGGCGAAUGCGGCCCCCUGGACAAAGACUGACGCUCAGGUGCGAAAGCGUGGGGAGCAAACAGG